RNAcentral lists this ribosomal RNA (457 nucleotides) under marine Metazoa environmental sample. RNAcentral's name for it is "SSU rRNA". It matches the Rfam family "Eukaryotic small subunit ribosomal RNA", at positions 587 to 972 of the family's 1831-position model. The record is from RNAcentral. Lineage: Eukaryota; Metazoa.
AGCUCCAAUAGCGUAUAUUAAAGUUGCUGCGUUUAAAACGCUCGUAGUUUGAUACUGGGUGCGGGACGGUAGGUGGCAUCCAUUGCGGUGUCCGAUAAACUGAGACUCUGUUGCCGCGUCUUCGGGCACCGAAAGGGGCUUCGUUGGCGGGUUCUCAGGGUAACCUAAACCCCACAAUCUGAAUCAUAUCGAGUGCUCUUCACUGAGUUGCUCGUGAUGGUCAGGAACGUUUACUUUGAGAAAACAGGAGCGAUCAAAGCAGGCAUCUCGUUGGCCAAUGAACGAGUGAUGCAUGGAAUAAUGGAACAGGACCUUGGCCCUGUUGUGUUGGUUUAGGGUGCUAAGGUAAUGAUUAAUAGAGGCAGGGCGGGGUCAGCUGUAUUGCGUGGGGAGAGGUGAAAUUCUUGGAUCCUCGCACGACGACCAGAGGCGAAAGCAUUUGUCUAGGAUGUUUUCA